CAGCAAAGUGUGGCGAAUAAGCCGAAAU
This 28-nucleotide small RNA is filed under the name Bombyx mori (domestic silkworm). RNAcentral's name for it is "ovarian small RNA-13163". The record is from RNAcentral. Lineage: Eukaryota; Metazoa; Arthropoda; Insecta; Lepidoptera; Bombycidae.